CAAAACCCCAAUAGGAUUGCUAAACCCCAACACUGACUCAUUGCCAAACACACCAUUCUGGGUUUUGAAGGUUUCUGAGUCCGCCGCACCUGCAUUUCCAACUUCUGAUUCAAGCUCCUGAAUUCGGCAAAUGAUUGGUCAAAUGUCGAUUUAAACUGUAUACAUGCUUGAAAAGGAGCCCACCGAUUCUGGUAGCGACGAUGACGACGAGUGGUUCAGUCCCGAUGCCAUCAGGAAGAGGGUUGAUGAGUUUCAGAGGAAGUUCACGCGACACGAGGAAUUGCUCAAGAAUUUCACACAGGCUGGAUUCAUCUUCUUCUGUUUCAGAUUCCAUCUAAAUGAAAUUUUAGAAACAAUGCAACAUAGACAAUUGGAAAUGCUGAAGCUUUAAAUUUAUGAUUAUUUGUGUUAUGUGUAAUUAUUGUCUGUUUAGUUCUCCACGGCAUGCGGACUAGGAGAUAAUCGAUUUGUGUAUAACCUCUACUUGGUACUUAUUGUCUGGUUGUCGGUUCAGGCUUGGUUUUCUCAUUUGCAGUUAUUUGGGAGCUCUCUCUUCUUAGUAAUUGAUACGUAGACACACAGAAAGAAAG
Rosa chinensis is the source of this 590-nucleotide long non-coding RNA. RefSeq lists it as uncharacterized. The transcript is spliced from 3 exons. NCBI's taxonomy places the organism in Eukaryota, Viridiplantae, Streptophyta, Magnoliopsida, Rosales, Rosaceae. The record is from RefSeq and is a predicted model, not a curated record.